GAUUUUACUAAUUAACAAGUGCUUAACACCGGGUUUGCAGCAUACAUUAAAGAAUAUAACUGUAAGUUUGCAGUGCGGAUGGUGGCAGAUUUUUUGGUAUCGAUCGUCUGUCAUGCGUCACUCGUAAUAUUCCAUUAACUUGACCGUUACUUACAACUUGCGCCUGGCCUCUGUAACCGUCUCUACCGGUUACUGAGUAUCAUCAACAGACUUCCAGCAAAUACCGUACACGAUAAUACACUAAUUCAGGACACUGUCCUAAAAAAGUGGCAAACAAAUUGUUAUCAUUGCCACUCGCUGUACGGCGUCAUUUGCCAAGGGAUCGGCGGCGUUUUCACUCUGUCUGCGGUCGCAUCUCUGUCCAGGGGAUUUUUCUUUUUAUCCAUUUGCGUAUGAUCAACACCGCUGAGUGUUUAUUUGUAAUGUAACAUUGUGUGGGGAAAAAAACUCGUAUACGUUCAAGCUUUACACCACACAGUUAUGUAUCAUACCCAGAAAAGAUUGGAGAACUUAUGGGAGAAGAAUGUGUUAUUAUUGUCACGUGUACGGAUCACAUGUGCAUGAAAUGCACAUCCCUUCUCACUCCUAUGGACUAUCUGCAAAAUGAUCUGAAACUUGUUAAAAAUGCAAUAUUGACCAACCUACAAGAUAAAUACGGAAUGUUACCUAAUGGACAGCCAGAAUGUCCCACUAGUGGCGGUGGAAGUAAUGCUUCAAAUAAAAUAAGACAAGACCCUUCAAAUAUUUAAAUAUACAAAUGCCGUUUUUGUUCAUUCCAAUAUAAUUACAUCACUUUAGUAACCAUAUAAUGCGUUGUCAUACAAAAAAGAAAGAUAAUGAAAAAUCAAAACAAACUGUGACAAUAAUUGUAACCCAGGAACAAAAACCUCAACAGAAACAACAUAAAACCAACCACCAGUUAAACAUCCAAAACCAACUGCGGCAACAAAAAAAAAAAUUUUUACGGAUGUCAACAGGUUUGUUUUUAAAUUCCAACAAAUAAUCUUUCAAACACAUGACUUAUUGAACACAUGGCUUUUCGAAGAUACAAUUUGUCGAUGAUAUAAACUUUCGAACACAUGACUGUCGAACAGGCAACCGGCACCAGGCGACAGGCAACCAGGACACAAUUUUUUUUUCAAGCAUUUAAAGUUUGAAUUUUUAUACCAUUUAUCUAAUUUAAAAUUUAAAAAUUUUUUGUAUUUCAAAAUGUAUAAAAUGUUCAUUUUUAGAGCUAAGGAUUUAAAAUUUAAAACAAGGUUCCACGUAAAUUGGUUAUAAUAAAUUACUUUAUUCACAAUAAUAUCAUCAAAUAUAGGUAUUUAGUAAUAUCAUAGGCUGACCGACCGUCUUCGCUCAGAAUUGUCUUUCUUAUACAAUGAUAUUAUAUCAUUCUAUUCAAAUUGAACACCAUCCAAUAGAGUGACCCACUUGUAACCUAUUGUGCAGCAGAUUGACACCCACUUGCCCACCUUUUUUUUGUUGCUUAUUUGAGUCCAUAGAUAUAAGUUCACUGUACAUAUUAUAUAACUAUUAAAAAAAAACAUAAUUUGAUUCUUAAAUUAUUAUUAUUAUGGGUGUGAAUAUAAUGCAGUGAAAACAUUGUUAAAUGCAUUAUUUUAAACCUAAACAAUUUCACUUUAUAAUGCAACCUACAUAUACCCCAAAAAAUAUAGUUUUUAAAAAAUAUUGAAAAAAUUAAUAUAGAAAGAAAAAUUGAACUAAAAUGGAUAAAAAAAAUCCUAUCAUUUAAAAAAGAGUAAGUGGAAGAAACUCUGCUGUACAUUGGGUCAUUGUAAUGGAUGGUGUACAAUUUGAAUAAAAUUAUGUAAAAUUGUAUACGAUUGCGUAUUUGAUGAUGUUAUUGUGAAAUAAUUUUCAUUUACCCAUGAAUUAUAUUUUUCAAUGAAAACAAAAUAACUUUACUAUAGUAGUUAUUUUUGGUAUAUACCUAAUUUUGUUCUUAAUUUUCUUAUAUUAUGUCUGUAAAAAAUAACUAGUAGUAAAAAUUGAAAAUUAUAUAUACUUUUAACUACCAUAGAAUGAGCAUAACCUAGGUUUCUUUAAUUUCCUGGAAUAAAAAGUAAAUUUGUCAUAAAACAGAAAAAAAUUAUCAAUGUAACUCUAUUUUACGAUACUAAAUAAUUUGUAAAUUUUCAGUUUGAUAAAUGUCAUUAACUAUACUUAUAUAAAAAAUCAUACCUAUGAAUUUCUUUAUUAUUCCUCAAGUGUUAUAAUAAUAACAACUUAUAACUUAUAAGGAACCUUGUAUUAAAUUGUCGAGCUUUUUGACCCAACCAAAAAAAUGUUUUUGACAUUUAUAGAAUUAUACUAAAAUAGUUCAAACACUUCUGUUACUUUUCUGAUAAAAUAAUUUUGUAGAUAGUUAUAUUUCAGUUGGUAGAUUUGAUAGGCUUAAUAUGUUAUUAGACCUUUAAUAGCUAAUUGAUAUAAAAAAAUUAAGGCCAGUAUGCAUAGUCACUUAAUGUGGUACAUAAGACAUAGUUAUGUAACAUUUAGUUUUCUUUUUUAAUUCUCUUUUGCACAUAACUAAUAGAGGUGUAUAUGUUAUCUGCUAAGCGUAAAAUUGCGAAUUAAUAUAUUUUGUUAUUAAUCAAAAAUAUAAAUGUUGAAAUAUGCAAAAUAUGCAUCAUAAAAGUUCCAUAGUUCAAUUAUUUAUUUUACGAAACAAAUUCUGUGCUCACUAGACAUACCGACACAUACGAUCAACCAGAAUAAAAAUGAAAGUGCAUACAAAUACGCGCUCUAAUUAUAAAUCAUAAACUACUCGUACAACGUUUAAUUUUAAUACAUCUAAGAAGCACUCCAAAAAAACAAUUAAAAAAAUUAUAGUGAAAAAAAAGUAAAUAAUAUAUAUAUUUUUAAAAAUAUGUUGUUUUUUGACAACUUAUAGUUAUGGAAAAAUAUAUUUUAAAAACAUUUAUAGUUUUUAAAAGAACAAGUGUCUUAUUUUAGGAAUUAAGAUCUCCAUUAAACUCACUCUAUUUUUAAAACUUUCCAUAGUAUUGUUUUUAGCAUCAAUUUUUACUUUCAUUCUUUGCAAAUCUCCAUCUUUUACAAACCCUUAACCUUAAAUACCCUAUACAUUGUUCAAAGACAAAUCCACCCCUACCAUUACAUUUUUCAAUACUAUCUAUUUUUUCUAAAAGAUCGUCUAACUCUUUCAUUGUUGUAAUAGGCAUUUUAUAUUCAUAUUUAUUGCCAUCUAUUUGUAUAAUUGGCACAAGGUUAUUAUAAAAAAUAACUUUCUUCACAGUUACAUCAUUAGCGUCUCUUUGGUUAAAACCUGUUGCGUUUUGUUCAUUAAGAUGUUCACUCUUCCAAUAUAAACUAGGAAGUACAACUUCCUUAGACAUUUCAAAAAUAAGCCCAUGUAUAUCCCUUGUAAGAUCUUCAAUUCUCAUGGAAGUAUUAUCUGUAUUAUCGGGAAGGUUAUUAUUUUUUUCAGUUUUUGAUUUCAAUGUUGGAUUUAAAUUACAAAUUAAAAAUGAUUUUAGUAAGAAUUUUUUACAUAUUACCUUGUAAAUUUUUCAUUUUUUCUGACGACAACUGUUCAGCAUAACAAUGACAAUUUAAAGAAAAUAAUAUGUGUUAAAUUCCUAAUAAUUUAAAUAACAUAUAGGUACUAAUAUAUAAUAUACAGUCAUAUAAUGUAAAAUUAACAUGUAUAUUAUUAUAUUAUUUAUGAAGUAUAACGGUUGUGAUGCAAAUCACGGUCAAAACUUCAACAAUUAAGCUACGGAGCGACGUAAACCAAUAUAUUCGAUAUACAAACCACGUGGCCUUUAAAACAAACGAACUAUAUUAUGUGAAAAUGUCUAAAAGUCGAAAAACAGCGUAAAAAGCGUAACAUUUUUCGAAAAUGUUUAAAAACCGACCGCCGCCGCCGCGAAGGUACGCGAUUGGUCGCGCUAUAGGGAAUCGACGGGAUUGGCCCGGCGGACUGGGGAAACGGAGCGGUGUUUAAUUUUUUCCAUCAUGAGAUCCUCCAUUAAUUCCCUAUAGAUCAGCUGUUUUUCUUGUGAUUUUAUAGUAUUAGUUUUUUGUGAAAAUUUUGACUUUUCAACAUUUUAUUUUCAUUUAUCUCAUGAUUUUAAAUAAAUUUUUUUGUUUAUAGGUAAAACAACAAAAAACUCGUCCCCCAUCUACGGUUAAUAGGUAUAUCUUCACGGGAUACUCUGUAUAUGCGCGUACUGUAUAUACAGGUUGUAUCUACAUAUUAAAGUGCCAUAAUAAAAACAGCGGCGGUGGCUGCUUAGUUGGCGGGAUAGCGGUGUUAUGACGGCGAAUGAUGUGUAGUGGUGGGGGAGUAAUGUUACGGCGGUGGCGACGAGGGCUUGUACCAUGGCGUUGUAUCAUAACGUGCAGUGCCUUUCUGUACGUAGUCUGUUGUUUGAGUUGUAUGUCCAGAGUUGUUUGGUCUUUUCAGUUGGAAAUUCCUAACCAAAUAACAGUACCACCGAAGCAUUCGUCGUUGUUCCAGUUGUCACAUACUUCAUUUCAUACUUCAGCGCUUACAACGUUCAGUGGUUUCCUUUCUUUCGAAGUUCCUAAACAAAUUACAUUACCACCGAAAUAUUCGUCGUUGUUCCAGUCACAUACUUCAUUUUCCGGGGAGCCGUGCAGUUGAUUUGAAUAUCCCGACGCUGAACGUUUAUUUCCGGUAGUUUCAUUCGCAAGUCAUCAAGCAAUCAUGUC
Metopolophium dirhodum (rose-grain aphid) is the source of this 4719-nucleotide long non-coding RNA. RefSeq lists it as uncharacterized. The transcript has 6 exons. Lineage: Eukaryota; Metazoa; Arthropoda; Insecta; Hemiptera; Aphididae. The record is from RefSeq and is a predicted model, not a curated record.